GGUUGUGGCUCAGUGGUAGAUUGCCCACCUCGCAAGUGGGAGGCCCUGGGUUCAAUCCUCAGCACCA
Molecule: transfer RNA, 67 nt
Filed under: Marmota marmota marmota (Alpine marmot)
Lineage: Eukaryota; Metazoa; Chordata; Mammalia; Rodentia; Sciuridae
Also listed under: 1 other name
Rfam family: tRNA
About the family: Transfer RNA (tRNA) molecules are approximately 80 nucleotides in length.
Source: Rfam by way of RNAcentral